UUGAACGCUGGCGGCAGGCCUCACACCUGCAAGUCGAGCGGAUGAAGGGAGCUUGCUCCUGGAUUCAGCGGCGGACGGGUGAGUAAUGCCUAGGAAUCUGCCUGGUAGUGGGGGAUAACGUCCGGAAACGGGCGCUAAUACCGCAUACGUCCUGAGGGAGAAAGUGGGGGAUCUUCGGACCUAACGCUAUCUGAUGAGCCUAGGUCGGAUUAGCUAGUUGGUGGGGUAAAGGCCUACCAAGGCGACGAUCCGUAACUGGCCUGAGAGGAUGAUCAGUCACACUGGAACUGAGACACGGUCCAGACUCCUACGGGAGGCAGCAGUGGGGAAUAUUGGACAAUGGGCGGAAGCCUGAUCCAGCCAUGCCGCGUGUGUGAAGAAGGUCUUCGGAUUGUAAAGCACUUUAAGUUGGGAGGAAGGGCAGUAAGUUAAUACCUUGCUGUUUUGACGUUACCAACAGAAUAAGCACCGGCUAACUUCGUG
Molecule: ribosomal RNA, 483 nt
Filed under: uncultured bacterium
Lineage: Bacteria
Description: partial 16S ribosomal RNA
Rfam family: Bacterial small subunit ribosomal RNA
Source: RNAcentral